Molecule: long non-coding RNA, 1313 nt
Organism: Pristis pectinata (smalltooth sawfish)
Lineage: Eukaryota; Metazoa; Chordata; Chondrichthyes; Rhinopristiformes; Pristidae
Exons: 4
Source: RefSeq, a predicted model, not a curated record
GGACACAGAACGAAAUAUUUCAAAAUCACAAGAAAAUCAAUCAGUUUUUGCGAGAAAUAGUCACGAGGCAUAAGCAAUCAUGGGAUCCAGGGACUUCAUUGAUGAUUUCUUAGCAGAACAAGAGAAGAUGAAGAACACACCGAAUAUGAUUUUCCUGGAGAGCAAGCUGAUUGGCUCAGGUCCACGAGGAGAUUGACAGAGUGAUUGGGAAGGAGCGAAGGCCAAAGCUGGAAGACCGGGAGGAAAUGCCAUUCACUAAUGCUGUUAUCCAUGAAAUCCAACGCUUAGGGAAUAUUCUUCCAAUUUCACUACCUCAUCAAACAUACAGAGGUCUCCCAAAGCAUUGCUCAUGGACCAUAAGCUCCAGGUAGCAGUGAGGAAGAAGUGUACUGCACAGUUAGAUUGAAUAUCUUCUGCCGAUGAUGGGUCAUUGGGACUGCAAGUCAUAGCCCUCAUUCUAAGGGCCAGAAUACAAGACUGUUCCUCAUUGCUUGGAGGGCCUGUUACAAGUAUGUUGCUGCCUAAUAUGUCCCUUUGAAUGUCUUUCAGGGAACAACAAUCAUCCCAAAUCUUUCCUCAGCCUUGUGUUACGGACUCAGUGAAAGUCCCUUUAAGAUAGAGAGUGUGUGUGUAUGUGUGUGUGGGGCGUGCUUACGUCAAUAGAAGAUAAAGGACGUAAUGACGUUGUUGAAAAAGUUAGAAGAAGAAGUAGAGAGAGAUAGAGAAGGGAGAGAGACGCCAGCCUGCUAAUUUUCUCUAUCAAUGGAUGAAAAACAGUAACUGUGUCUGCCACUGAAAUCCAUGUAUGGAAGUUGGAAGUAAUCCGGUGGAGUUCACUUUGUUGCUGACCUGUAGAAGGAAACAGGUAUUUGUGUGGACGACCACGAUUCGGAUGCUUUUCGGGGUGAGGAAGUCACUACAGAGUAAACACUGGAGAGUCGCUGGGGUUCCAUCGUGGAACAUUUGGAUUUUGUAUUUACUCUCCCUAUGUUCUCUACAUCUACGUCUUAUCUUCAGACAACGGUGGUUGUUGAAGAAGCCCUUGCUCAUGUUUCACCUUAUGGCUUGCGGAACUGAACUUUAAGAACCAUUCCGGAACUUGGAGUUUGGGACUUUGUCACACACACACACGACGAGUUUAGUUUUGGGGUUAACGUUCGAGGUUUAACAUUUUUGAAUUCUAACAUACUAACAUUUUGACUUUUAUUUUACGUAUUAUCAUAAGUAGUGAUUAAUAAAAUAGUUUUUAACACUGAAUCAUGCUCAGUGUGUUUCUUUUGUUGCUGGUUCGUGACACUGGUUUGAUGAAGACA